This 531-nucleotide ribosomal RNA is filed under the name uncultured Dehalogenimonas sp. RNAcentral describes it as "bacterial SSU rRNA". It matches the Rfam family "Bacterial small subunit ribosomal RNA", at positions 518 to 1040 of the family's 1533-position model. Lineage: Bacteria; Bacillati; Chloroflexota; Dehalococcoidia; Dehalococcoidales; Dehalococcoidaceae. The record is from RNAcentral.
CGGUAAUACGUAGAAGGCAAACGUUAUUCGGAUUUACUGGGCGUAAAGCGGGUGCAGACGGUUUCUUAAGUCGGAUGUGAAACCUCUUGACUCAAUCAAGAGGGGUCAUUCGAUACUGAGAAGCUUGAGGGCAGCAGAGGAAGGCGGAAUUCCCCGGUGUAGCGGUGAAAUGCGUAGAUAUCGGGAGGAACACCAGUGGCGAAAGCGGCCUUCUGGGCUGUUCCUGACGUUGAGGCCCGAAAGCGUGGGGAGCGAAACGGAUUAGAUACCCGUGUAGUCCACGCCCUAAACUUUGGACACUAGGUAUGGGGAGUAUCGACCCUCUCCGUGCCGAAGCUAACGCCUUAAGUGUCCCGCCUGGGGACUACGGCCGCAAGGCUAAACUCAAAGGAAUUGACGGGGGCCCGCACAAGCAGCGGAGCGUGUGGUUUAAUUCGAUGCAACGCGAAGAACCUUACCAAGGCUUGACAUGUCGGAAGUAGAAACUCGAAAGAGGGACGACCUGUAUCCAGUCAGGAGCCGACACAGGUG